GACGAACGCUGGCGGCGUGCCUAACACAUGCAAGUCGAACGGCAAGGCCCUGAUUUUGUGGGGUUCUUGAGUGGCGAUCGGGUGAGUAACACGUGUGUAACCUGCCCUUGUCUUUCGGAUAACUUCAGGAAACUGCGGCUAAUAUCGGAUAGGAGCUCCUGCUGCAUGGUGGGGGUUGGAAAGUUUCGGCGGUUGGGGAUAGACUAGCGGCUUACCCGCUUGUUGGUGGGGUAGUGGCUUACCAAGGCUUUGAAGGGUAGCAGGCAUGGGAGGGGGGACGGCGACAAGAGGACUAAGAGACGGCCCAGACUCCUACGUGAGGCAGCAGGGGCAAAUAUGACACAGUGGGCGGAAGCCGGAGGCAGCAGCGCCGCGUGCGGAAAGACGGCCUGCGGGUGAAAAACCGCUGUCGCCUGUGACGAAGCGUGAGUGACGGUAACGAAUAAAGAAGCACCGGCUAACUACGUG
Molecule: ribosomal RNA, 468 nt
Filed under: uncultured bacterium
Lineage: Bacteria
Description: partial 16S ribosomal RNA
Rfam family: Bacterial small subunit ribosomal RNA
Source: RNAcentral